GACCUUCAGCAGCACAUAUACUAAAAUUGGAACGACAGAGAGAAGAUUAAUGUGACCCCUGCACAAGGACGACAUGCAAAUUCAUGAAGUGUUUUAUAUUUAA
Small nuclear RNA from Myotis lucifugus (little brown bat), 103 nucleotides. Lineage: Eukaryota; Metazoa; Chordata; Mammalia; Chiroptera; Vespertilionidae. The record is from Ensembl.